AACGCUAGCUACAGGCUUAACACAUGCAAGUCGAGGGGAAACGAUAUUGGAAGCUUGCUUCCGAUAGGCGUCGACCGGCGCACGGGUGAGUAACGCGUAUCCAACCUGCCCGCCACUUGGGGAUAACCUUGCGAAAGUAAGACUAAUACCCAAUGACGUCUCUAGAAGACAUCUGAAAGAGAUUAAAGAUUUAUCGGUGAUGGAUGGGGAUGCGUCUGAUUAGCUUGUUGGCGGGGUAACGGCCCACCAAGGCGACAAUCAGUAGGGGUUCUGAGAGGAAGGUCCCCCACAUUGGAACUGAGACACGGUCCAAACUCCUACGGGAGGCAGCAGUGAGGAAUAUUGGUCAAUGGACGAGAGUCUGAACCAGCCAAGUAGCGUGCAGGAUGACGGCCCUAUGGGUUGUAAACUGCUUUUAUAAGGGAAUAAAGUGAGUCUCGUGAGACUUUUUGCAUGUACCUUAUGAAUAAGGACCGGCUAAUUCCGUGCCAGCAGCCGCGGUAAUACGGAAGGUCCGGGCGUUAUCCGGAUUUAUUGGGUUUAAAGGGAGCGUAGGCCGGAGAUUAAGCGUGUUGUGAAAUGUAGACGCUCAACGUCUGCACUGCAGCGCGAACCGGUUUCCUUGAGUACGCACAAAGUGGGCGGAAUUCGUGGUGUAGCGGUGAAAUGCUUAGAUAUCACGAAGAACUCCGAUUG
Molecule: ribosomal RNA, 696 nt
Filed under: uncultured bacterium
Lineage: Bacteria
Description: bacterial SSU rRNA
Rfam family: Bacterial small subunit ribosomal RNA
Source: RNAcentral